UACGAAGGGGGCUAGCGUUGCUCGGAAUCACUGGGCGUAAAGGGCGCGUAGGCGGCCAUUCAAGUCAGAGGUGAAAGCCCAAGGCUCAACCUUGGAACUGCCUUUGAUACUGUUUGGCUUGAGACCGGUAGAGGUAAGUGGAACUGCGAGUGUAGAGGUGAAAUUCGUAGAUAUUCGCAAGAACACCAGUGGCGAAGGCGGCUUACUGGACCGGUUCUGACGCUGAUGCGCGAAAGCGUGGGGAGCAAACGGG
This 253-nucleotide ribosomal RNA is filed under the name uncultured bacterium. Its description in RNAcentral is "partial 16S ribosomal RNA". It matches the Rfam family "Bacterial small subunit ribosomal RNA", at positions 524 to 776 of the family's 1533-position model. The record is from RNAcentral.